RNAcentral lists this ribosomal RNA (407 nucleotides) under uncultured bacterium. RNAcentral's name for it is "bacterial SSU rRNA". It matches the Rfam family "Bacterial small subunit ribosomal RNA", at positions 355 to 776 of the family's 1533-position model. The record is from RNAcentral.
UGAGGGAUAUUGCACAAUGGGCGCAAGCCUGAUGCAGCAACGCCGCGUGAAGGAUGAAGGUCUUCGGAUUGUAAACUUCUGUUUUCGAUGACGAACACAAUGACGGUAAUCGAAGAGCAAGCCACGGCUAACUACGUGCCAGCAGCCGCGGUAAUACGUAGGUGGCAAGCGUUGUCCGGAAUUACUGGGUGUAAAGGGAGCGCAGGCGGGAGAGCAAGUCAGUGGUGAAAUGUAUGGGCUUAACCCAUGAACUGCCAUUGAAACUGUUUUUCUUGAGUGAAGUAGAGGUAGGCGGAAUUCCGAGUGUAGCGGUGAAAUGCGUAGAUAUUCGGAGGAACACCAGUGGCGAAGGCGGCCUACUGGGCUUUAACUGACGCUGAGGCUCGAAAGUGUGGGGAGCAAACAGG